Long non-coding RNA from Drosophila innubila, 484 nucleotides. RefSeq lists it as uncharacterized. The transcript is spliced from 2 exons. NCBI's taxonomy places the organism in Eukaryota, Metazoa, Arthropoda, Insecta, Diptera, Drosophilidae. The record is from RefSeq and is a predicted model, not a curated record.
GAUAUAACUUUUCAUUCUCGUCUAAGCUCUCGUACUUAAAACAUCUUUUGGAAGUAACCAAAAAUUUUUUUUAUUUUCUGAUAACCUAGUUCCGUAAAAAGGCUUAUUAAAACUAUCUUGACAAUGUGUAAUCCGUGUUUGCGGUCAAUGCCUGGCACAUGUUGUGGACCAACUGGUGGAUUGGGACCUUGCGGUUUUUGUGGACCUUACAAUGGACAAUGGUUCAGAGCGAUAAAUCACUGCUGCGGUCCCUGUGGACCAUAUGGCUGCUGUUCUUGCUAUGGACCCUAUGGAGGACACUGUUAGCCUACUUAGAAGGAACAUAGGUUACGGAAAACUAAUCAAAUAAGGUGGAGACAAAGGACAUAAACGCUUUAACAGAUAUCUGGAGAUAGUGGCCGAAUCUAUAGAAAACUCGUAAUAGACAAAAGGUCGUGUUGUCCAAAAAAAACCAAUAAAUAAAUUCAAUGUGAUUUUAUAUUGC